Molecule: long non-coding RNA, 1179 nt
Organism: Papaver somniferum (opium poppy)
Lineage: Eukaryota; Viridiplantae; Streptophyta; Magnoliopsida; Ranunculales; Papaveraceae
Exons: 5
Source: RefSeq, a predicted model, not a curated record
AAAUCAGUCACACUCUCUAUCUCCAAAAUACCUUAGUCUUUGUUCUCUAUCAUGAUUCAAGCUUGAGAAAAAAAUAUCAACACAUACGAUUUUCUCUUCAAUCUUUUUUCUGAAAACCAUUUGCAAUUUUAAAAUUAGGGUUUGCAACAAAAAAAAAUCCCUUGCGUUUUGACCAAAUUCGAGAUUCGGGUAUUCUUUUCCAGAUCUCUAAUUUGCAUCGAAAGUAAAGUUUAUCGAUGCUCUCUAGAACACCGAUUCAUCUUCGUUUUCCAGAUCGACGUACUUCGAAAAUCCUAAUCCACUGCUACAAUUUUUCGCUUCUGAUAGAUAUAGAUGGAGGCAUUAUAUUGGUGUUUGACUCAACCAAAUAUUGAACUACAUGCUCAUGUUAAUGUAUCAGCUAGGGAUUCAACAUUAUUAGAACUUGCUAGAGCUCUUGGAGAAAAUGGUUCACUGAUUUUAAUCGACGUGAAACCAUGGAAGCAACGAUGGAAACUGGAUAUAAGGGCAGUUGAAGCCUGUUCAACUGACAUUGAAAAUGAGAGAUGUGAGAGUAGUAGGUAAUGACCUUGAUGGAAAUCCUGAUAUUGGAGAAUGGUAGCUGAUCGAAAGAAAGAAGUCACUGCCAUUUCCAGAGCAUUGGCCAUGCUUGUUUCAUUAAAGGCGUAGAAAGGAUAAGAUUAGGGAUCUACAAGAACGUAUUGUGGUCAUAUAUCAAGACCGUAAACAAUUGCGAAAGGUGAAUGAGGGCUUGCAAAAGAGCAAGGAAGAGACACACCAGAAGAUGGACAAGUUAAGUUGAUAGAUAUACUUGAACAAAUAUGUUCUAAUCAGGUUAUCAUAUGUUAACAAAUUUCUUAAAUUUUUUCUAUUGUUUACAUGCUUACGAGUUUUAGGCAAGUGUAUGAAACUAGUAAUCAUUGAUAGGAAAUCAAAGGAGGAGGGAGAUAAAUGCAUUACCAAAUCCACUUUAUAAAUAAUUUUGUUGAGAGUUCAGUAAGGUAUGCUUCUUGAAUAAUAAUAUUUCUGUGAACCUUAGCUUGCUACUCCAAAUUGUAUUGUUUCCAUGCACACUACACCAUUUUUCAAUAUUAGCAACAAAAACUAAUACUGUGAUCCAAGAUUAAUGGAUACUCUGUAGCCAUUCUUUUGAUUCCACGUAGUAUAUUUUCUCCCCAC